AUAACAAAAGUUCAACAGUUUUGAAUGUCUAUAAAUAAUGAUCAAAAGUUAUUUUCAACUCUUUGUCCCUAAGUUGGUGUUGCGUUGAAUCAACCGUAGAAAUUCUAGAUUGUUGGCCAACUUGUUCAUUAUAUCCUCAAGAUUGUGAGUCCGUUUGUCUUGUGUCCAAAUAGUUGAUUGAAACUCUUCAUUCUUAGAGCGAGACGCUUCUAACUCUGCUGCCAAUGAAGCUUUUUUUUUUUGCUAGAUGAAGACUUCUCUACUCGAGGACCAAAUCCAAAACCAAGCAAUCUCCCUGCAUUCAUGCCCAACACUCGAGUCAUAAUCUCCCUUUUGUCAUUGCUGUCAACAUUUCUAGAUUCUGCUUCCAUCUCAGAGAUACAUUCAGUCUCAAGUGAUUUCAUUUCAUUCUAUGAAAUUAACAACAAAUGAAAAUAAUCCAAAGAUAAUCCCAAAUUUAAAAACAAGAUAAGGGUUGUAUAACUUAUCAUUUGCAAGUUGUACCCACUCGCUUGUCCGCUUUUUUCUGAUGUGUGAUUUUGUAACCUUCAAUUGGAUAUCCCUGAAAAUCAAUUUAGAAAAAUUAAUAACAAUAGAAUUAUUUUAUUUUAUUUUUUUGCUAGAUUUGUUUGUAUAUAUAAAAUAACAAAAAACAAAUAUUACAAUACAGCUCAUAGCAUUAUCACAUCUCCCAAGGGGACUAGAGCACCUAGGUAAAACUAGAAAACCAAUUACCUAACCUAAUUGCAUUAGAUCUCACAACCAGAGGCUAGGUAAAAAGAGAACUUAAUAAAACACUAAAAAAGCUAAUGAGAUUUAAAGUUACAAUCAACUUGGGCCACAAAGCUAAGAAUAUGGUUGACUUACACCAGCUGUAACUAAGGAUCUCAAAGGUAUGAAAAUGCAAUUAUUGGAUAGAGAUGAUUAAUGAUGGUGAUAAAUAAGAAACCUAUUUAGUGUUUCUCUUUCUGUAUGGGUACACGUUUGUUGAACUAGUGGUCAACGCUUUUAUUGAAUCACGUGUAAAAUGUGAGUCGCUGACUUUUGCUAAAAUGUCUUUUACGACCUGGGGAUUUAAACAGUGCUGGUUGAGUAUAUUUAUUGUCAACUAAACUCAAAAUGGAGACUCAUCAAAGACUAUAAAUCUGUUUAUUCAAAUCACAUUUUUGGAUCCUGAUUGGAUUAGCAUUGGCAGACCACUUUUCGAUGGUGUCGUCGAUGGAAUUAGUGAUUCAAAGUUAAAAUGUAGUCCUUUUAAAAAUGGUGGUGAUUGUCAGAAGAAUGAAGGUUCCAAAAUGAAAAGGUUAAGAAAGAAUGACCUUAAUGUGAAGAACUCUAAAAAGAGCACAUAAUAUGCAUGUGCUUCAGUUACAAACUACAAUAUUUGAAACUAUAGAGAACAACCCUUAACUAGAAAAUAUGUCUUUAUAAAGUAAACAAUAUUUGAAUCUAUAUAGAACAAACCUUAAAACAUUUUGACAAAUCUAUUUAGGUUUAUGAUGCAGUGCAGGGUGAAGAUGAUAUGUAUCCUUCGAGUUUAUAGCUAACAGAAACCUCUGUUUAGAAAAUGUUCAUAAGUUUCCUAGAGCUCAAUUUCAGGCAUUGGACAAACUCGUAGAUAUUUGCCAUGGUACUUGAUUUUCCUUGAGAAAAUCAAACGUUUUGGAUUAAUAUAGGAUACUCUAUAGAAACAUAGACCAAAAGAUGUGCAUUAGUUUUCUUGCUUUGAUUGUUUUCCAAGUAAAAUGUCUAAAGUAUCUAGUGAAGGAGUUCAACUAACAUUUCUUGAUUUGCUGGUAAACCAAUCUCAAACGAACCUUCAAAUUAAUAUGCAUGAAAUGUGAAAACAUGCAUGCAUGUAGAAUUGGUUAGAAUUCUAUAAUAUAGUAAUUGGAUCACCAAAAGAUUGUGAAAAAGAAAAAGAUAAAUAUUAAAUUUACGUACGUACAUACAUGCAUACAUAUAGUGUUGUCUAGUGAGCAAGAGACAACACUAUAUGUAAUCUAAUCUUCUUUGUUCUGUUUCUCUCUCUAUAAUUUUCUGAUCAAAUGGCAAAAAAGAUUUUUGAAUCAAUAAAAGACAGUACAAAAACUGCAUUGAACAGUCAAAACAUAUGUAUACAUGUCUAAGUGAGUUAAUUAUAUAUUCUUGAUGCAAAGUGUGGUGAAAAUUGCACUGGUGCAGAAUCAUUAACAAGUUGCAAACAACCAAACCCCUAGAAAAUCCUAAUUUACCCAAAACAGAACACAAUGAAAAAUAAAAAGAAAACCCAAAACAAAUAGAGAGAAGGAGUGUUUGGGGACAGAAAUAAUGAAAUACUAGAUUGAUUCUUACUGAAACUCAUCAGCAAUUUCUUUCUUGUUCAAUUCCUCAUAUUUCCACUAUCUCUCAUUCCACUUUGCCUGAAAAUAAUUAAAAACCCUAAAAUUAGUGAAAUUAGUAUUAAUAAUACUUAAUAAUCAGAAAAACUGGAGGGAUUUUGAAAUUAUAAAAUUAGAUAACCUUGUAGCUAAUUUCAAGGCGAUGCAUCACAUAGAAGCCAAGAACUCCUCCGAGAAUUGUCCCUGUCAUUAUUCUCAUAUACGCCCAUGAUAUUGGUGACACCAUUUUCUCUCUUCUCUCUAUAUCGAAGUCUGAGCGAAAUGAUUUGGGAAUUUCCAAUUUGG
RNAcentral lists this long non-coding RNA (2666 nucleotides) under Panax ginseng (ginseng). Its description in RNAcentral is "long non-coding RNA (PGIN_LNC005009)". The record is from RNAcentral. Lineage: Eukaryota; Viridiplantae; Streptophyta; Magnoliopsida; Apiales; Araliaceae.